UGUAACAUCACCAAUUCCACCAAUCAGGGAUAAGAUAUGAGCCAUGUGACAGUUUCUGACUGCUCAGACUUCCUUAACGAUCACAUAUGGACAUUUUCAAGUUGUUAGUGCCAUUUAUCCCGGAGUAAGGAGAAAAAUUCAACAUCUGAGGUGCUGCUGAUUGUACCGAAGUACCCAUGUGCAGAGACAUGCCCCCUUAGAACAUGGCAGAACAUGUUGUUAACUAACAGCACAACAACAAACUGAUCCUUUGAGUCGUAAUGAAGUUCUCAUCUCUCCCCAAGACUGAUGAUUGCUGAUCUAAGAAUUUAGCACAAUCGGAUAUAAUGACUUUUUCCAGAUUCUACUGCUUCAGACAUCUGGAAGACAACACGACAGAGCACUGAGAGACUUCAAGUCACUUGGAACCUUAUUCUGAACUUUUUUUGCCCUGUUAGAAGACUUGUGUAGUAGGUUUUCCACUGCUACUCACCAGAUUCACAAGAUUUUUGCUGAUGGCGUUUUUCGCUUUUGGUCGAUUGAGGCCGAAGACUACAAUUCCUAAACGAGAAGCAUUAGUUACGAUUUGUCACUGUGCUAUAGAAAAUGAUUCUGAUGAAAUAUCAGCUUACAAUUAAGCAUUCAUAACAAGCAACUGUAUUAUGGAGAACCAUAAACUGCUUAGUAUUAUGUUACAUAACCAAGUGAGGGGGUGUUUUUCACAUUCAAAAUGCAGUCCUCUUAUGAUUAAAGUGUUAGAUUCUGCAGUAUGGAAAAUAUGAUUGUAAAACUGAAUAGAGCAUCUACAAACAGCAUGGAGGUUGCUCUCUAGUUUCAGGUGAUCACGUGUGUUGAAGGUUACUAAGCAACAGAUACUGCCGGGAGGAGCUUGCGAGUUAAGUUGUUUGUUAGAGCAAGAACUUGGCUGAUUUAAGGGGGACGGCAGUCUAUGUUUUGGUGAAUUUAUUAACAAAAU
Alosa alosa (allis shad) is the source of this 955-nucleotide long non-coding RNA. RefSeq lists it as uncharacterized. The record is from RefSeq and is a predicted model, not a curated record. The transcript is spliced from 3 exons. NCBI's taxonomy places the organism in Eukaryota, Metazoa, Chordata, Actinopteri, Clupeiformes, Clupeidae.